AACGCACCUUGCGCUCCUUGGUAUUCCGAGGAGCAUGCCUGUUUGAGUGUCAUGGUAUUCUCAACCUUUAUAGCUUUUUUUGAGGCAAUAAAGGCUUGGACUUGGAGGUCGUGUCGGCGCAAGUCGACUCCUCUUAAAUGCAUUAGUGUGAACCUUACGGAUCGCCUCCAGUGUGAUAAUUGUCUACGCUGUGGUGUUGAAGUAUAGUCGAGUUCAUGCUUCUAAUUGUCCGCAUGGACACACAAAUUAAAACUUGACAAUCUGACCUCAAAUCAGGUAGGACUACCCGCUGAACUUAA
Molecule: unclassified non-coding RNA, 299 nt
Filed under: uncultured Phlebia
Lineage: Eukaryota; Fungi; Basidiomycota; Agaricomycetes; Corticiales; Corticiaceae
Description: sequence contains ITS2
Rfam family: 5.8S ribosomal RNA (bases 1-52)
Source: RNAcentral